Non-coding RNA from Triticum aestivum (bread wheat), 133 nucleotides. The record is from Rfam. NCBI's taxonomy places the organism in Eukaryota, Viridiplantae, Streptophyta, Magnoliopsida, Poales, Poaceae.
AUACUAUUCCCUCCGUCCGGAAAUACUUGUCGGAGGAAUGGAUGUAUCUAGAAUUCUAGAUGCAUUUUAGUUUUAGAUGCAUCCAUUUAUACCCAUUUCCGCGACAAGUAUUUCCGGACGGAGGGAGUAGAUA